AGUGAACGCUGGCGGUAGGCCUAACACAUGCAAGUCGAACGGCAGCACAGUAAGAGCUUGCUCUUACGGGUGGCGAGUGGCGGACGGGUGAGGAAUACAUCGGAAUCUACUUUUUCGUGGGUGAUAACGUAGGGCAACUUACGCUACUACCGCAUACGUCCUACGGGUGAAAGCAGGGGAUCUUCGGACCUUGCGCGAUUGAAUGAGCCGAUGUCGGAUUAGCUAGUUGGCGGGGUAACGGCCCACCAAGGCGACGAUCCGUAGCUGGUCUGAGAGGAUGAUCAGCCACACUGGAACUGAGACACGGUCCAGACUCCUACGGGAGGCAGCAGUGGGGAAUAUUGGACAAUGGGCGAAAGCCUGAUCCAGCAAUACCGCGUGGGUGAAGAAGGCCUUCGGGUUGUAAAGCCCUUUUGUUGGGAAAGAAAAGCAGCAGGUUAAUACCCCGCUGUUCUGACGGUACCCAAAGAAUAAGCACCGGCUAACUUCGUG
Molecule: ribosomal RNA, 492 nt
Filed under: uncultured bacterium
Lineage: Bacteria
Description: partial 16S ribosomal RNA
Rfam family: Bacterial small subunit ribosomal RNA
Source: RNAcentral